This 241-nucleotide long non-coding RNA is filed under the name Olea europaea (common olive). RNAcentral describes it as "long non-coding RNA (OEUR_LNC001799)". The record is from RNAcentral. Lineage: Eukaryota; Viridiplantae; Streptophyta; Magnoliopsida; Lamiales; Oleaceae.
UUUUAUGAGUUGUGCACAUAACAAUAUUUGUAGACAAUGUCAAGGAUUUUUUCAUUUUAUGAGUUGACAUUAUCUCAUCAUUAUGUUAGAAGUCAUGAGUAAGUCAAAGUUACAUUAUUCUUGUUCAGGUUUGUACUUUCAUGACAUUUGUCAUUUAAAACGUCAUGAGCAAGCACGAUUUUAUUACUUUGACAUUCAUGUUGAUGUGAUUGUACUAGUGUUUAAGCUUAAAUAACAUCUG